UCAAGGCAGUGGAUUGUGAAUCACCCAUGCGCG
RNAcentral lists this transfer RNA (33 nucleotides) under Artemisia absinthium. RNAcentral's name for it is "partial tRNA-His". The record is from RNAcentral. RNAcentral also lists the same sequence under 1 other name. Lineage: Eukaryota; Viridiplantae; Streptophyta; Magnoliopsida; Asterales; Asteraceae.